GGAAGAAGCCACAGUCCUGUGCUGGCAUUAUUCCAAUCCGACGAGUUGGGGCAUCAGAAAGCCAUUCCAGAGGGAACACUCCCCAGGGUCAGAUGACUGGGCUGGGCCGCAUGACUUAACACGUCCUUCCUUGCUAAUCUAUUUUGGUGCAUGGGUGGAAGCCACAGCAGCUAUGGCCCAAGGGCUCCAAGAACAGGAAUCACAUCGGUGAAAUUACUCAAGUUGAUAUUAGUUGGACAUUGGUUUAGGGGAAUAGCAUCAUAAAUUGCUAGUUUUGGCAAACGGUAUAGUGGGAUACAGUGUGUUUUCCUCGUGGACACCCAAGGUUUUCAUCGCCAUAAAAGCAAAAGCCACUUCUCAGUAAGCACAUUUCAUAACAUGGAGGUCCUCAUGGGAUUUUCAGCUUUUCAGCUAUUGUGAUCUUCAAUCCCAAGUGCUUCUUUGAGCAAUUUUAUUCUAUCCCACAGAAGAAAAUGAACUAUUUAGCUCCACACUUAAUGGCAAACUCCAUUUCGGCAUACACAUUAAGCCCAGACUCCAGCAGGCUCUGAUCAAUACGUUUGGUUAUGAACCAGAGCCCCUUCACACAGUCAAAGAUCCUCACUGGUGACAAAAGACUGGGAGCUGUCAAUGAUUGAUGCCCUCUCAGCAGUGCACUGACAAGCCAGGCCCCAGGAAACAGAGAAGAAAACCAUAUGAAAGUCCUUAGGGAGACGCUGACUGGCAUGGACAAGAGAUCACAUCUAAAAGUCAACAGAAUUGAGAUCUGGUGCAGCACAGGGUAGUUAAUGUGAAAUCUGGACUCUGCCUACAAAUUCUGCACCAAAGAAGUUCUAUGAACACAGGGACUCUCUUGGACUCAGACUGGGGAAACUGCUUCAAGGAGAGGGUCAUGGAAGUUCUAAUUAAGUAGAGUGCUGUCACCACACCUCUGCAGUCACACUCUGUAGCUGGCUUUGACUAGCGGCUGUGAUUGGACUAGUUACCACAACUACAUUCUCCCUACUGUUUGCACUUAGCCUAACAUAGCCUACAGAUCAAACAUCUAGAAGGGCAAGUGGUGAUAGAGAAUUGGCGAUGGCAAAGUUCUGAUCACAGACAGUUCUCCAGUGUGACAGUUCUCCUGAUUAAGAUUCAGAUUUAUUUCACUAGACAGGUAUGUAGCAAUAUAGACAGGGUUCUUUUUUCUGAAUGGCCUGCCAAAUAUGCAAUUUUGCUGGAGAACUUUGAAGCACAUUAAAAGUUUUGAGGGCUGGGUGCGGUGGCUUACACCUAUAAUCUCAGCACUUUGGGAGGCCGAGGCUGGCAGAUCACAAGGUCAGGAGUUUGAGACCAGCCUGGCCAACACAGUGAUACCCUGUCUCUACUAAAAAAAUACAAAAAGUUAGCUGGGUGUGGUGGCGGGUACCUGUAUUCCCAGCUACUUGGGAUGCUGAGGCAGGAGAAUAGCUUGAACCCAGGAGGCAGAGGUUGCAGUGAGCCAAGAUUGCACCACUGCACUCCAGCCCAGGCAACAGAGUGAAACUCUGUCUCAAAAGAAAAAAAAAAAGGUUUUGAGAGUAGCGAUGGUAAUUCAACCAGACACACAGCAAGUAAUAGUAAAAAGUUAGAGAAAAGCAGCCACCAUGAACAUUUUAGCAGCUAGUCAUGGAUGGCUCACACAGUGAGAGGAGUAACAGGAACCUGGGUUCCUGGACUCUACACCUCUUCUGAAGUGAAACCACAAAUAGGCAAAACAAACAAACAAACAAACAAACAAUUCUGCCAAUAUGUGCACUACUUCAUAGAGAGGAUUGGAAGAGAAAAGUCAAACAGUCAAAAAUGUUUGAAUUAAUGCCUGGCUGUUAAACAGAAAAAAUAAAUAAAUAAAGAGGGAAAACAUGUUUCAAGAAAGAGCUGACAUGAAAGCUGGCAUUUGAUUUUCAAAGAUUAUAGGAAUAAACUUGCCCUUCGAGACUAUGAGAUGAAAUGAUUGUCACGCUUUCUAAUGCAUCUGCCCAUCAGUCGCUAAUGGAAGGACAGAAAACCCCUAUUUUUCACUCAGCAACUUCCUACAGUUUGAAUUCCCAGAAAAAAUAAUUACUGUUGAAACCAGAUAACCCAAGUGAGAGUGUCUUGCACACAGUAGGCCCCUGAUAAGAGCUAGUUUCCUUCCUAAUAUUUGAUAGGUCACGUUCCUUUUUUUUUUUUUAAGCACAGACACAGGCACGGCUAUAGGAAAAGAUGGCCAAUAGUAAAUAUGCACAAAUUCUCUCUCAGAAGACCUGAAUAUAUUCCAGCACAGUGGCCUACACGGCGCUCCUCCAGUUUUGAGGUGAAUUUUGAUGCGCAUUAUUCAUCUGUUGCUAUUCCAGGAAAUCCAUUUGAGAUGAUAUUUCGCUGUGAUUUUUUUCCCCUUCUCUUCUUUCUUUUUGAUUUUGUUUUUAAAUAACAACAGCUGUGCUCUGAAUUCGCUUCCUUUUGUUCCUUUUAAAGUGGCUGGAAUCUGGGAGGUUUGAAAGAUGCUUCUCCAUACCGCUGAUCAAAGAUUCUUUUCCUGAGAACUGGUUCACUCCCUAGCUAUACAUUAAUCAAAUCCUCCCCUUUUUCUCAAGUUCCAAAAGUGUUUUCUUUCCCUCCCUCUAGCUGUGAGUCUGAUUCCACAUUAGGAAAGUUGAUGAAGUAGCUCUGUUAUGAGAGAGACCCAGAGGGGCUUUCAUCUCAAAGGCCACAGAUUCCAUCUCGUUCAGUCAGACCUGUUUGCUAAACCAUCAGGCCACGUCUUAUCUGACCCCUCGCAGCCCUCUUCGUCGUGGGGUUUGAAGGCAGCAUCUGAGAACUGGCAGUGACCAACCUGGCGUGUUUGUGAAGUGCCGACCUACAAGGGACAGCCUCCUGUGGGCCAUGACCCUGGAGCACACAUCCCAGAUCCUCUUCCAAAGGACAACUCUUUCCUUUCUUCCCUGUCAGUCUCUCUGCCAUUCAUCUCUAGUCAUUCAUUUUAGUUUUCACAG
This 2993-nucleotide long non-coding RNA is filed under the name Homo sapiens (human). Its description in RNAcentral is "HSALNT0161186". Lineage: Eukaryota; Metazoa; Chordata; Mammalia; Primates; Hominidae. The record is from RNAcentral.